UACGAAGGGUGCAAACGUUGCUCGGAAUCAUUGGGCGUAAAGCGCACGUAGGCGGCUUCAAAAGUCGGAUGUGAAAUCCCGUGGCUCAACCAUGGACGUGCAUUCGAAACUGCGAAGCUUGAGUAUGGAAGAGGGUCGCGGAAUUCCCGGUGUAGAGGUGAAAUUCGUAGAUAUCGGGAGGAACACCAGUGGCGAAGGCGGCGACCUGGGCCAAUACUGACGCUCAGACACGACAGCAUGGGGAGCGAACGGG
RNAcentral lists this ribosomal RNA (253 nucleotides) under uncultured bacterium. Its description in RNAcentral is "partial 16S ribosomal RNA". It matches the Rfam family "Bacterial small subunit ribosomal RNA", at positions 524 to 776 of the family's 1533-position model. The record is from RNAcentral.